Dermochelys coriacea (leatherback sea turtle) is the source of this 264-nucleotide long non-coding RNA. RefSeq lists it as uncharacterized. Lineage: Eukaryota; Metazoa; Chordata; Testudines; Dermochelyidae. The record is from RefSeq and is a predicted model, not a curated record. The transcript has 3 exons.
AGAACAAAUGGGAUGACCAUCAUGAGAAAUCCCUAGCUACCACCUGAGCUGGAACAAGGGCUGUACCAGGGGAAAGGAUUGUGCCCAGACUAAAAAGGUGUCCAGUCUGUAAAAGAAACUUACUGAAACAUCUCAAAGGGUAAGAUUUUUAUCUGUAUUCAGUUUUUAUUACUGUACUAGACUUAGACUUGCAUGUUUUAUUUUAUUUUGCUUGGUAAUUCACUUUGUUCUGUCUGUUACUACUUGGAACCACUUAAAUCCUUC